Molecule: long non-coding RNA, 217 nt
Filed under: Elaeis guineensis (African oil palm)
Lineage: Eukaryota; Viridiplantae; Streptophyta; Magnoliopsida; Arecales; Arecaceae
Description: long non-coding RNA (EGUI_LNC057717)
Source: RNAcentral
UGCAGUGGUGUGAGUGGUCUUUUGAUCUACGGUCUCAUUGGCUAUUCGCAGUGAGGCUACUGGGUUUGACUGCACGUUCUCUUGGUCCUUAGCCAUUCGAAUUUUUACUGUGUAUGUUGGCUUUAGUAGGUUCAGGUUCGCUGUUUGAAAUAGGAUGCAUCUAGAUAGAAUCUAUCAAUCUUAGUAGAAAAGGAGAAGUCCUAUGCGAUUUGUAAGA